GACGAACGCUGGCGGCGUGCUUAACACAUGCAAGUCGAACGGAAAGGCCCCUUUGGGGGUCCUCGAGUGGCGAACGGGUGAGUAACACGUGAGUAACCUGCCCUUGACUUCGGGAUAACUUCAGGAUACUGGGGCUAAUACCGGAUAGGAAUCCUUGCUGCAUGGUGGGGGUUGGAAAGCUUCGGCGGUUUUGGAUGGACUCGCGGCUUAUCAGCUUGUUGGUGGGGUAGUGGCUUACCAAGGCUUUGACGGGUAGCCGGCCUGAGAGGGCGACCGGCCACAUUGGGACUGAGAUACGGCCCAGACUCCUACGGGAGGCAGCAGUGGGGAAUAUUGCACAAUGGGCGGAAGCCUGAUGCAGCAACGCCGCGUGCGGGAUGACGGCCUUCGGGUUGUAAACCGCUUUCAGCAGGGGCGAAGCUUGUGGUGACGGUACCUGCAGAAGAAGCACCGGCUAACUACGUG
RNAcentral lists this ribosomal RNA (465 nucleotides) under uncultured bacterium. Its description in RNAcentral is "partial 16S ribosomal RNA". It matches the Rfam family "Bacterial small subunit ribosomal RNA", at positions 28 to 507 of the family's 1533-position model. The record is from RNAcentral.